ACUUCGAUAACGGCCGAAAUGCAAAAAAACGCUCGUGUGCUUGGUCUUAGAUGCGCGUGAAAGAACCCCAGGUGGUCGAAAUCGGCCCGUUAGUGCCCCUGUUACGCCAUGUCUCAAAAUAAGAUCGCGUCGUUCGGGCACGCAACUGAAGCAAUAGAAUUUAAAUUUUUUUGUUCCAAGAAAAACGAUGCGGCAGGAGCAGACGACUGCGCGAACAGACAACUCGACACAUGUCGCGGCGCGCGCUCACGAAUUGCAAGUCAUGCUCGCUGCUGGAGCCCAACGCGAAUGCGAAGGCGGCCACGGAAUCUGUAUGACGGAACCGCGAAGAUUCCGUCCGCGGGUUAUAAUAUCCAUAAAACUACGGCGACAGCGCUAACGCCAUUGCAUGUCUAAGAACACAGUGGAAGCAUGUGGAAGCUUCUAGAACAUUCCGAGCUCGGCAACUACGCAGUACGCAGGCUGCAACUUUUCUUUUUUUUUUAUUCCUUUGGUUUGACCAUCGCCCUCGCGCCAGUGGCGGUGAUAACAGCGGCACGGCGGCUAGCGAGCCGGUGACGUAGUUCGACAUUAGACCAAUGAGAGAAGAAAAGAAAUGGUCCGGGCGUAUCAACGCAUGCUCCGAAGAGCUUGGCAUCCUGGUCGUCGUGGGAUUAUAGCGAGCAUCCGGGGGCUUGGGCCGCCAUUUUUCAUUUUCCGUCUGCUUCGGCGUGCGCCGUGUCUGCUGCCUUUUGCGUCGCACCCUACCUCGAGCUCCUGCUGGUCUUAAUUACGCGCUAACAGUGUCAGCGCUUGUCGAAGUUACACGCUGCGCAUGUUCCCGCCUUCGGCCGACUCUGGAAGCACUGGCUUCAUGCACCGGGACCUGAAAAACGUGAGGCACUCCUCGAGAGACUUGUUGCCCGAACCGCCUGCCGUCUCGGCAAUUCCUGGCCCCGCUUUCGAGCUCCCGGAGUGUAAGUGACCGCCAGCCGGCAUAACUACGUUGCUAUACGCCGACGACACUCCGGUCGAGCCGGCGCAGCGUAUAUAAGCCGCAAGUCGUUCCUGCCGAGUACUCGUCCUUUUGUUUGUGCGCGUUUCCACCCCCCGACGGCGCCGGGACUAUUGAACUGUGGAUGAACUCUGAGCGUGGCCACUAACCCCAGGACCUUCGCGACAACCCCUCGUCGCGGCGAGCGUCGUCUCUACGAGCUUCGCAUCGAGCGUCCUAAACGCUCAAAAGGCCUGUGUGUGCACUCUGUGCAUUUUUUCCUAGAUGGUCUAGCUGGCGAGGGUGGCGCAUGCCUUAGAGAAGUUAACUGUUCAGUUGCACUAGCUAGCGCCCACUAGGGUUGUAUAGCUGAAAUACAAAAUUGCGUAAGGUUAGUGCUGUUGCUUAUCUUCGUAAGCCCGAGGUUUCGUGGGCAUGGCUUGCGGCCACACGGGUCUUCUCCGUGCCGGAAUCGAAGAGGACGGGCCACGUGUUGCGGGGUGGCGGCGUAUAGCUUCAGGUUUUAGCUGACACACAGGGUUAGCUCACACUGCGCAGGCAACAGCUGAUAGCCGUCCUCUUACGACUGCGUCAGGGACAUGGACCCAUCCGAAUUGCCUUGCGACCCGACCCCACUAUUUCGUGUCGGAGAUAGCCCGCGCGCGUCAGAGCGCGUGCUAUCGAGCGAAAUGUGGGAUGACGGAAGCAAACGGCAUUCGGACAUUACCUCGCCAGCUAUUAGGCACUAACCCGCUCUACGCAGCACCUCGACGCCGGACGUCGUCGCCUGCUGUUCUCGUCGGAGCUGGGCCGGGCAGCAGCUACAAGCAUCACUCGCACCGCGCCCGGUCUACCGUGUUCCCUCGUCGGAGUGGCCUUGUGGCCCUGCACCGGGAUCCCGAGGUCCGCUUUCGAGAUUGCGGACCACGAGUCGGAAGGAUAUCCAGUGUGCUGCUCCACGUCUGCCAUCCUCCCAACGUCCGGAGGUGGCCUUGAGCACCUCUUACCGUGGCUGACCGCGUCGGCUCCCUUGCAUUUCCACGUCCACGUCGUCCUUCUGCUACGGCGCGCUUCGUUUGCUACUACUGCCCACGUGUAAGAUGGAUAUCCAGUGCGCUGCUCCACGUUUGCCAUCCUCCCAACGUCCCCCUCACGAGAUGGCCUAGAGCACCGCUCGUACCCUGACCGACCGUUCCCCUUCGCCGGUUCGGUCUCGCCGGCAGACGAGAUCGCUCAUCGCCCUUCUUAGCUACGGGAUCCCGACGUCUGCGUUCGAUUGAAGCCCAUAAGUUAUCCAGUGGGCUGCUCCCCGUUUGUCAUCCUCCCAACGUCCCCCUCGGGAGAUGGCCUAAAGCACCACUCGUACUAUGGUCCCAUCGUGUUUGUUAAAUUACCUUCCCUCAACCAUGGCGUCCUGCUGGCAGUCAGAACCUUGCUCCUCGCCCGCCAGUGCUGAUGACCGUUUUGGAUGGCGGUGAGCGCGGAGAACGUCCUAGGCAGUUUUGCCAAAAGAUCAGAUGAUUCUGAGCAACAAUCCUUCCACGGCUUUGGCCGUUUGCACAUCAGCCGGCAACUGGACAUCCAAGUUCGAGUGUGGCUACAACCCCAGGACCUGCGCAGCAACGCCUCGUCACGGCGAGCGUCGUCUCUGCGAGCUUCGCAUCGAGCGUCCUAAACGCUCAUCAGGUGGUCUUUGUGCAUAUUCCAGAUGGUCUAGCUGGCGAGGGUGGCGCACGCCUUAGGGAAGUUAACUGUUUUGUAGUUUUGUAAUGUAUAGCUACAUUACAAAAUUGCUUAGCUGUAAGCCCGAUGUUUCGUGGGCAUGGCUUGCGGCCACACGGGUCUUCUCCGUGCCGGAAUCGAAGAGGACGGGCCACGUGUUGCGGGUGGCGGCGUAUAGCUUCAGGUUUUAGCUGACAUAAGGCUUAGCUCACACUGCGCAGGCUACAGCUGAUAGCUGUCCUCUACGAGUGCGUCAGGGACAUGGACCCUUCCGAAUGGCCUUGCGACCCGACCCCACUAUUUCGUGACAAG
This is a long non-coding RNA of Dermacentor albipictus, 3007 nucleotides long. RefSeq lists it as uncharacterized. The record is from RefSeq and is a predicted model, not a curated record. Lineage: Eukaryota; Metazoa; Arthropoda; Arachnida; Ixodida; Ixodidae.